Long non-coding RNA from Chinchilla lanigera (long-tailed chinchilla), 2686 nucleotides. RefSeq lists it as uncharacterized. The record is from RefSeq and is a predicted model, not a curated record. Lineage: Eukaryota; Metazoa; Chordata; Mammalia; Rodentia; Chinchillidae. The transcript has 4 exons.
UGUGUGCUCGUGGCUGCACGCGCCUGUGUGUUAACAAACGUAUGUUCAAGCUUUGGUGUUGCCUCCGCCGCUGGUUUCUGGGCUUUGCUAUUCUCCUUCUGUCUGGGAAGGCCAGUCAACCAGCUAUACAGGGCUUUGCUGUCCAUAUGCCGUAAGUGUGCCCUCAUUACUCAGCUGCCGGAUUUAAAGUUUCAAAAAGUAAGAUUGCCAAGACUGUCUCUUUGGACUAGGCUUAUCAGCCUGAAAGCCGGCAAGAUGCGAACUGAUUGCUCCGUCCAUGUCCUGGCCGAGUGAGGUCUAGCUAAAGACAAGCUCUGCGCAAGAGAUUCCAGUUCCAGCAUUCCGUUCUCUGGUGUGGGAGUCAGAUGGAAACACCAGUGAGGACACGGAGCAGCAAACUUCUCCCCUUAAGCACAGGAAGCACAAGAGCACGAAGAAGAGGUCCAGCUCCUACGCUCACCUUGUGGUCACUGACACAAGGUCCUCCUGGUGGGCCCCACCUUCUAAGGCUUUCGCAGCUUCUCAGUAGAGCCACUUUGGAACCAAGCUUCAUGCAAUAUCCCCUCCAGCAGCUAUGUCGUGGCGAAGGCUCUGGGACUGUGACAGAUAUAAUGAAGAACAAGAAGAGCUGUGCAUAACCUGCAUGUUGUCUAAGAAUAAUUAGCUCGUUAACUACACUCUGCGGGCCCAACCUCACCUCGAGAUUCCGACUGCAGAAUGCACAGCACAGCAUGGUGAGCUCACUGCACAGUACAGGCUUUCCUGAGACAAGUAUGAUUUCGGCAUCAGCACUCACACUGCCGGGAAUCUUGUCAGUGCUGUGGCGUGCAGUGAAUUGUGCUGUGAGAGACCACAGAAAUCAGGGAAUGCGCUGACCAAUCACGUGUCAGAGGACUUAAGCGGGACCACAUCAGAAUUCUGGCGCAAAAUUCAGUCAUGAAAACAAGAAUUCCGCUUUGGAAUAAACAGCAAAGUAAGAAGGUCAUGUUUAUAGUAGGGCCACUUCUCAACUGUCUCAAGUCACCUUGCUGAUUACGUGCUGUGAGUCUGCGUGCACACCCACACCCACAGCGCGUGAGCCGAUAUGCCGCGAUGAGCUCGUCGUGUUUUAUACUCUCCUGCGCUGCACUCCCAUUUGCCAACUCCUGCAGUAGUAACAGGUAUCACGGAUUGUAUAUGAUGUUGUCAAACCACAUGGAAAUAUUUUUACAAUAUUCAAAUUGACAUGUCUACAAUAUGAGAUUGCUUUGUAUGUUUUACUUUCACAUACAGGGCAUCAGGUGAAAUAGAUAAUUCUGGAAAAAUUUCACCACCUACAUAAUUAGCUCUUUUAGUUAAGAUAUGACAUUAUAUCUUUAUAAGCAGUUUAUUUGUGUCUCCUGUAUAGAAAGACCUUCUGGACCUCACCACGGUCCAGAAAAGUCCACAUUUGUAAUCCCAUGGAAAAGUCACUGGAAUUCUAAUAAUCCCAGUCUACCGCUUCCAGUGCAAUGCAGGGUGCAAAUGUUUGUGGUUGUGGGGAGCCAAGGGGGCCCGAAAGUCCAAUCAGAAUAAUGACUGAGGGGAACAAAGACCUUGACCCAGAGCUGAACCUGGGUCGUGUUAAUUCUUGAAGAGGGGAGUGGCUCGGGGUGUGUCACAGGGUGGCGGGAAGUACUAAGUACUAAGUGAGCUGGGCUGGGUAGGAGGCCUGAAGUCGCCUCUGUCAUAUGCACAGAGACACGUACAGAGGGUGACCUGCGUACCACAGAUUGGGGCAGAAUCUAGUGCCUUGGGGUUGGUGCUUCAGUUUUGACGUGUGAUCGUGCCCCGAGAAGUCAUAGCCUCUUUUCUCAAGGCUCGUUCUCAGCCCGCGGCGUGCUCUCUCAGUCUAGCUCACACAGCUGGCUGAGGGCUGUAGACAGGGCGUCACUGACCUGUUGCACUGCUUCGAAUUCUACACAUCAGCACCUUGGCUAGACCCAUUCGCAUUGCGUGAAACCAAGUGAGGGGAUAAAGAAACGUCCUGGACAGCUCUGUCCACGCCAGUGCAUGGAGGCGGGCCCGAAUGCUCUUUCGGGCGGUCCCCCACAGGCAACAGUGAUGUAGCAGGGAUUUGAGCGCGGGCUCCUAACUGUGUACAUCUCUAACUGGUUGUUCUGUCAUCUUUUCCCUAAAUGUAACAUGAGCCCAAGAAAAUUUUUAGCCUAAUUUUCAACCUUCUGCUAUUUUAUCUACUCAUUUAGUACUUAUGUAGUUCACCUACUUUUUAACAUUAUUUUUAUAUUUGACUCAUUUACAUGUAUGCAAAUUGCUCAUUUCUGAGUUAAACACUAGUCAGUCUGUCCUAUUUAUUGAUUUAUCUCAGUGAUACUAGUGAUUUAACCUGGACACUUUGCUCACCAGCUCCUUUUAUUGUUUAUUUUGAGACGGGUCUCACCGAGUUGCUGAGUUACCCUUUGCGGAGUUGACUAGGAUUCUCCUGCCUGAGCAAUCUUGUGCUACCUUGCUCAGUUCAUCUUGUUUCAUGUUAGUAAGGUUGGUUGACUUAUUGUUUGUCCAGUCACUUUUUACCUGUUGCUACACUUUGGUCACUAAGAUUGCGUGUUCAGACUGGAGGGAGAGAUUCCUAACAUCAGCUCAGUCUUUCCUAUUGACUGACCCCACCACUUCCUCCCUUCCUCCCUCCCUUCCUUCCUUCCUUCCU